This 3237-nucleotide ribosomal RNA is filed under the name Triticum aestivum (bread wheat). RNAcentral describes it as "partial small subunit ribosomal RNA". Lineage: Eukaryota; Viridiplantae; Streptophyta; Magnoliopsida; Poales; Poaceae. The record is from RNAcentral.
GCUGGUUAAACUUUGUUCGUGUCCCCAAGGGAAUUUGCCAAUCCGCUCCGCCCGCGCUUCAAAACCCUAGCCGCCAGCCCUGCUCGUCCCCUCCUCCCCGCUCCCUCCAUCCUCUCACAUGUCGCCGCCCCUCUUCUCCCCGCUCGCCUCGGCCGCCUCCUCUCCUCCGCCGUGUCGUCGGCCCCCUCCCUCCUCCUACCUCCUCCUCCCUCCUCUCAGUCCCGUGCCAGCCGCCGCCCAAACCCUAGCCCCCGUUUCCCUCGAUCCCCACAGUAACCGCAUCCAUAGCCACCCGCUCCUUCUCACAGCCGCCGCACCAUUCCUCCCUUCCGCCCCCUCCUCCUUCCCGGAUCCCCACCACGGCGCCGACCUGCAGGCAAAGGGCGACAAAGAGUGGCAGACGAGGACAACGAGGGAGAGAAAGAAGGGAGAUAAAAAGGAGGCCGGCGGGCGGCGGCGAGGCCCAGCGACUAGCGCCUCUCCGCCUCAAGCCCCGGCAUCACCGCCACCAGAUCCACCUCGCAACCUCUCUUCCUACCCUGUCUGACUGUUGUGUGGUCGCGUCAGGCCCAUGCCGGCGCCACCGCCACCACCGCAGCCGCCGCCGCUGGAUGGCUCCGUCGGUCCCUCCCGCUCCAGAUUGAAAACUGAGAGAGCGACGGGAGGGAAGAAGGGGGUCGGGGGAGGGGAGAGCACGGGAGAGAAGGCGAGCUCGCGGCUGACCGCAGCGUGCAAGGCGGACGGGUGAGAAAAGGGGCGCCGCGAGGAGUGGAGUAAGCUAAAUACCUGACUGGUUGGAUCGUUUUUGGGUUCUUUACAGAUUUGCCGACUUCAAAUGGGUAUCUCAUAGUUGAAGCAAAUGGUGGUCUGAAUCAACAACGUCUUUCUAUCUGCGAUGCAGUUGCUGUGGCCAGCUUGCUUAAUGCAACUCUUGUGAUCCCAAUAUUUCAUUUGAAUAGCGUUUGGCGCGAUCCUAGCAAAUUUAGUGAUAUUUUUUAUGAAGAUCGUUUUAUUGGGACACUCAGACAACAUGUAAGAGUUGUGAAGGAACUCCCAAAAGAUGUCCUGCUGCGUUUCAAUCAUAAUAUAAGCAGCAUACCAAAUAUGCAAACUAAAGCCUACUCAUCCCGAGACCAUUAUGUUCAGAAGGUGCUUCCGAAUGGAGUUAGGGGUUGUGCGCAUCGCCCCAUUCUCGAAUAGAUUGGCUCAGUCAGUUCCAUCGAAUAUCCAGGCCUUGAGGUGUUUGGUAAACUACGAGGCUCUACGGUUUGUCGAACCAAUAAGGGUUCUUGCAGACUAAUAUGGUUGUUCGAAUGAUGAAAAAGAGUUCUUUGGCUGGUGGGAAAUAUGUCUCGGUGCAUCUCCGUUUCAAAGAGGAUAUGGUGGCUGGAAGGAGAAAAUUGAAAUGGAAAAUGCCCGUGAAAGGAGCUGGAGAGGGAAGUUUCACUGACCUGGUCGAGUUAUCAAUCCCGAGGCAAACAGAAGGGAUGGGAAAUGCCCACUUACUCCUCUAGAGGAUAGGAAUUUUUUCACUGGUUAAAGCACUUGUGUGGAUAUAUGUACACCCAAUGAUGCAUUCGUAUUUCAGGACAUUAAUUAACAUCACAAUAGGCCUGUUAUACUAGAAUUGAUGUUUGUUGCUUAGUUUGUGAUGCUUCAGGUCAAUAAUAAUAACCUUUAAGUUCAGUGCCAUCAGUUGCGUCUCUUUAGUAGCAUUCAGAACAAAUUUAGAAGCUUUCAAAUAUGUAAAUAUACUCACUAGAGCUAAUAUGUUAACUGACUGAAUUUGAGCAGGUUGGUAUGAUGCUGCGAGGCAUGGGGUUUGACAAUACAACCUUCCUCUAUGUUGCCUCCGGUAAAAUAUACAAUGCUGCAAAAUACAUGGGUCCCCUUCGCCAGAUGUUCCCUCUUUUACAAACCAAGGACACUCUUGCAUUGUCUGAAGAGCUUGCUGAGUUUGAGGGGUACUCUUCUCGGUUAGCAGCAUUAGAUUACACCAUCUGUGUUCAGAGCGAAGUGUUUGUGACCACUCAAGGGGGGAACUUCCCUCACUUUUUGAUGGGACACAGGUGUUACCUGUUAGGAGGGAAUGCAAAGACAAUAAAACCCGACAAACGGAAGUUGGUCUUAUCUUUUGAUGACCCAAAUAUCAGAUGGAAUCGAUUCAACCACCACAUGCUAGAAAUACUGCACCAUAGUGACAUAAGGGGCAUCACAUUCAGGAAACCUAAUGAUUCCAUAUACACCUUCCCAAUGCCUGAUUGCAUGUGCCAACAAGAUGGAAUAUGAUCUAGGCGUUAGCAUACAUAACUGAGGGAUGCAUAUCCUCUGCCUUUGUGCAACAAAGGCACCAAAGGCAUGGCAUUGUUGACUGCAUGAUCAGGAUUUGAUGGUCAUGAUGAAAACUGGAGUGAAAUAAAGCAUUUGGUGCUUCUCAGGAGAUUCUGAAACCCUCUGGCAUACCCCAAAUCGUUCGAUUCUGGAUAUAAUGGUCAAAAGGUGCCUAAUGACAAUGAAUUCCGUAGGAUCAGAAAUUGAGAGGAUGCGAGGUAUUUUGUAAAGUUAGUAAUCUGUAGGUAGUCCACCAUAUAGCAAUCUCCAUUUGUUCAAUCUGUCUGUAGGUUGUAAAGAGAAAAGAGCUACGAGAUUGGGUUGUAGAUAUGAGUACAACCUGAGUGCCUCGAUGUAUAUUCGAAAAACAAGGGCUAACAACAACAAAGAAAGGAAGUAUAUCAUUACUCAUCAGUGCUUGUUCUCGCAUUUCAUCUUGCCUUUGACAAUUCAUAUUUAUGAGCAUGUUCUUACAGUUCAGACCUAACGUUCUUUUUUCUUUCCUUGGGCACUUCCUCAAGAAUCUUGUUGAGGUGUCUGUUUCCCCUCUUUGUGUCAUGAAUGAUUGUGAUGGCUGCAGGGUCUUCGCAAGGAGUUGAAGGCAUAUAAAAACCAUGGAUCCUUUGCUCCCCAGGCCGCAAAAUUAUCACAGUGAUGUCUACGACCUCCUCCUAGAUGUAUUAAUCUCAAUCUCAUGUUUGGUUUUCUUCCCUUUUCUCUUCUAAUGAUGUAAUUUCUUUUACUAAGAUAACACCAUGUUUGUUGUAAUGCCUUAUUUGAUGUAGGAUCCCUUUUCUACUUUGAAUGAUUUUACUGUAUAUAUUUCUUAUUUAGUUUAGUUCAUCAUUCAGAGACGGUGGAAUAUUUUUGUCCUUCACAGGUUAAAUGAGCAUUGCGUAGUCCUUU